RNAcentral lists this transfer RNA (65 nucleotides) under Dipodomys ordii (Ord's kangaroo rat). It matches the Rfam family "tRNA". Rfam says of the family: Transfer RNA (tRNA) molecules are approximately 80 nucleotides in length. Their secondary structure includes four short double-helical elements and three loops (D, anti-codon, and T loops). The record is from Rfam by way of RNAcentral. Lineage: Eukaryota; Metazoa; Chordata; Mammalia; Rodentia; Heteromyidae.
GGUGGCUCAGUGGUAGAGCACUUGCCUUGCAUGCAUGAGGUCCUGGGUUCGAAUCCCCAGCACCA